Molecule: ribosomal RNA, 253 nt
Filed under: uncultured bacterium
Lineage: Bacteria
Description: partial 16S ribosomal RNA
Rfam family: Bacterial small subunit ribosomal RNA
Source: RNAcentral
UACGAAGGGAGCUAGCGUUGUUCGGAAUUACUGGGCGUAAAGGGCGCGUAGGCGGCUUGACAAGUUGGAUGUGAAAGCCCUGGGCUCAACCCGGGAAUUGCAUUCAAGACUGUCUUGCUCGAAUUCGGUAGAGGUUGGUGGAAUUCCCAGUGUAGAGGUGAAAUUCGUAGAGAUUGGGAGGAACACCCGUGGCGAAGGCGGCCAACUGGACCGACAUUGACGCUGAGGCGCGAAAGCGUGGGGAUCAAACAGG